GAUGAACGCUGGCGGCGUGCCUAAUACAUGCAAGUCGAACGCUGAAGGAAGGAGCUUGCUCUUUCCGGAUGAGUUGCGAACGGGUGAGUAACGCGUAGGUAACCUGCCUGGUAGCGGGGGAUAACUAUUGGAAACGAUAGCUAAUACCGCAUAACAGUAGAUGUUGCAUGAUAUCUACUUAAAAGGUGCAAUUGCACCACUACCAGAUGGACCUGCGUUGUAUUAGGUAGUUGGUGAGGUAACGGCUCACCAAGGCGACGACACAGAGCCGACCUGAGAGGGUGAUCGGCCAGCCUGGGAGGGAGACACGGCCCAGACUCCUACGGGAGGGAGCAGUAGGGAAUCUUCGGCAAUGGACGGAAGUCUGACCGCGCAACGCCGCGUGAGUGAAGAAGGUUGUCGGAUCGUAAAGCUCGGUUGUAAGGGAAGAACGAGUGUGAGAGUGGAAAGUUCACACUGUGACGGUAACUGACCAGAAAGGGACGGCUAACUACGUG
Molecule: ribosomal RNA, 497 nt
Filed under: uncultured bacterium
Lineage: Bacteria
Description: partial 16S ribosomal RNA
Rfam family: Bacterial small subunit ribosomal RNA
Source: RNAcentral